UACGGAGGGGGCUAGCGUUGUUCGGAAUUACUGGGCGUAAAGAGCGCGCAGGCGGCCAAGUCAGUCGAAUGUGAAAGCCCCCGGCUUAACUGGGGAGGGUCAUUCGAUACUGCUCGGCUCGAAGACAGGAGAGGGAAGUGGAAUUCCCGGUGUAGUGGUGAAAUGCGUAGAUAUCGGGAGGAACACCAGUGGCGAAGGCGACUUUCUGGCCUGUUCUUGACGCUGAGGCGCGAAAGCUAGGGGAGCAAACGGG
RNAcentral lists this ribosomal RNA (253 nucleotides) under uncultured bacterium. Its description in RNAcentral is "partial 16S ribosomal RNA". It matches the Rfam family "Bacterial small subunit ribosomal RNA", at positions 524 to 776 of the family's 1533-position model. The record is from RNAcentral.